RNAcentral lists this transfer RNA (67 nucleotides) under Euceros serricornis. RNAcentral describes it as "tRNA-Asp". Lineage: Eukaryota; Metazoa; Arthropoda; Insecta; Hymenoptera; Ichneumonidae. The record is from RNAcentral.
AAAAAAUUAGUUAAUUAAUAACAUUAAAUUGUCAUUUUAAAAUAAUUAUUUAUAAUAAUAUUUUUUU